UAUAGCUCAGUUGGUUAGAGC
RNAcentral lists this unclassified non-coding RNA (21 nucleotides) under Chlamydomonas reinhardtii. RNAcentral describes it as "small RNA Cre_2367". The record is from RNAcentral. Lineage: Eukaryota; Viridiplantae; Chlorophyta; Chlorophyceae; Chlamydomonadales; Chlamydomonadaceae.